UUUUAUGGAGAGUUUGAUCCUGGCUCAGGAUGAACGCUGGCGGCGUGCCUAAUACAUGCAAGUCGAGCGAACGGACGAGAAGCUUGCUUCUCUGAUGUUAGCGGCGGACGGGUGAGUAACACGUGGAUAACCUACCUAUAAGACUGGGAUAACUUCGGGAAACCGUAGCUAAUACCGGAUAAUAUUUUGAACCGCAUGGUUCAAAAGUGAAAGACGGUCUUGCUGUCACUUAUAGAUGGAUCCGCGCUGCAUUAGCUAGUUGGUAAGGUAACGGCUUACCAAGGCAACGAUGCAUAGCCGACCUGAGAGGGUGAUCGGCCACACUGGAACUGAGACACGGUCCAGACUCCUACGGGAGGCAGCAGUAGGGAAUCUUCCGCAAUGGGCGAAAGCCUGACGGAGCAACGCCGCGUGAGUGAUGAAGGUCUUCGGAUCGUAAAACUCUGUUAUUAGGGAAGAACAUAUGUGUAAGUAACUGUGCACAUCUUGACGGUACCUAAUCAGAAAGCCACGGCUAACUACGUGCCAGCAGCCGCGGUAAUACGUAGGUGGCAAGCGUUAUCCGGAAUUAUUGGGCGUAAAGCGCGCGUAGGCGGUUUUUUAAGUCUGAUGUGAAAGCCCACGGCUCAACCGUGGAGGGUCAUUGGAAACUGGAAAACUUGAGUGCAGAAGAGGAAAGUGGAAUUCCAUGUGUAGCGGUGAAAUGCGCAGAGAUAUGGAGGAACACCAGUGGCGAAGGCGACUUUCUGGUCUGUAACUGACGCUGAUGUGCGAAAGCGUGGGGAUCAAACAGGAUUAGAUACCCUGGUAGUCCACGCCGUAAACGAUGAGUGCUAAGUGUUAGGGGGUUUCCGCCCCUUAGUGCUGCAGCUAACGCAUUAAGCACUCCGCCUGGGGAGUACGACCGCAAGGUUGAAACUCAAAGGAAUUGACGGGGACCCGCACAAGCGGUGGAGCAUGUGGUUUAAUUCGAAGCAACGCGAAGAACCUUACCAAAUCUUGACAUCCUUUGACAACUCUAGAGAUAGAGCCUUCCCCUUCGGGGGACAAAGUGACAGGUGGUGCAUGGUUGUCGUCAGCUCGUGUCGUGAGAUGUUGGGUUAAGUCCCGCAACGAGCGCAACCCUUAAGCUUAGUUGCCAUCAUUAAGUUGGGCACUCUAAGUUGACUGCCGGUGACAAACCGGAGGAAGGUGGGGAUGACGUCAAAUCAUCAUGCCCCUUAUGAUUUGGGCUACACACGUGCUACAAUGGACAAUACAAAGGGCAGCGAAACCGCGAGGUCAAGCAAAUCCCAUAAAGUUGUUCUCAGUUCGGAUUGUAGUCUGCAACUCGACUACAUGAAGCUGGAAUCGCUAGUAAUCGUAGAUCAGCAUGCUACGGUGAAUACGUUCCCGGGUCUUGUACACACCGCCCGUCACACCACGAGAGUUUGUAACACCCGAAGCCGGUGGAGUAACCUUUUAGGAGCUAGCCGUCGAAGGUGGGACAAAUGAUUGGGGUGAAGUCGUAACAAGGUAGCCGUAUCGGAAGGUGCGGCUGGAUCACCUCCUUUCUAA
Molecule: ribosomal RNA, 1557 nt
Filed under: Staphylococcus aureus
Lineage: Bacteria; Bacillati; Bacillota; Bacilli; Caryophanales; Staphylococcaceae
Also listed under: 2 other names
Description: 16S ribosomal RNA
Rfam family: Bacterial small subunit ribosomal RNA
Source: RNAcentral